ACGUAGGUGACAAGCGUUAUCCGGAAUUACUGGGCGUAAAGCGCACGCAGGCGGCUGAUUAAGUCUGACGUGAAAUCUCCUGGCUUAACUGGGAGGGGUCGUUGGAAACUGGUCGGCUUGAGGCAGUGAGAGGGGUGUGGAAUUCCCGGUGUAGUGGUGGAAUGCGUAGAUAUCGGGAGGAACACCAGUGGCGAAGGCGGCUCGCUGGCUCAGGCCUGACGCUGAGGGGCGAAAGCGUGGGGAGCGAACGG
This 251-nucleotide ribosomal RNA is filed under the name uncultured prokaryote. RNAcentral describes it as "partial 16S ribosomal RNA". It matches the Rfam family "Bacterial small subunit ribosomal RNA", at positions 525 to 775 of the family's 1533-position model. The record is from RNAcentral.